GGUUUACCUGUGUGACUGCGUACCUUUUGUAUAAUGGGUCAGCGACUUAUAUUCUGUAGCAAGGUUAACCGAAUAGGGGAGCCGGAGGGAAACCGAGUCUUAACCGGGCGUUAAGUUGCAGGGUAUAGACCCGAAACCCGGUGAUCUAGCCAUGGGCAGGUUGAAGGUUGGGUAACACUAACUGGAGGACCGAACCGACUAAUGUUGAAAAAUUAGCGGAUGACCUGUGGCUGGGGGUGAAAGGCCAAUCAAACCGGGAGAUAGCUGGUUCUCCCCGAAAGCUAUUUAGGUAGCGCCUCGUGAAUUCAUCUCCGGGGGUAGAGCACUGUUUCGGCUAGGGGGCCAUCCCGGCUUACCAACCCGAUGCAAACUGCGAAUACCGGAGAAUGUUAUCACGGGAGACACACGGCGGGUGCUAACGUCCGUCGUGAAGAGGGAAACAACCCAGACCGCCAGCUAAGGUCCCAAAGUCAUGGUUAAGUGGGAAACGAUGUGGGAAGGCCCAGACAGCCAGGAUGUUGGCUUAGAAGCAGCCAUCAUUUAAAGAAAGCGUAAUAGCUCACUGGUCGAGUCGGCCUGCGCGGAAGAUGUAACGGGGCUAAACCAU
This 607-nucleotide ribosomal RNA is filed under the name Salmonella enterica. RNAcentral describes it as "partial 23S ribosomal RNA". It matches the Rfam family "Bacterial large subunit ribosomal RNA", at positions 582 to 1190 of the family's 2925-position model. Lineage: Bacteria; Pseudomonadati; Pseudomonadota; Gammaproteobacteria; Enterobacterales; Enterobacteriaceae. The record is from RNAcentral. RNAcentral also lists the same sequence under 1 other name.